CCGCGGUAAUACGGAGGGUGCAAGCGUUACUCGGAAUCACUGGGCGUAAAGGACGCGUAGGCGGAUUAUCAAGUCUCUUGUGAAAUCCAAUGGCUUAACCAUUGAACUGCUUGGGAAACUGAUAAUCUAGAGUGAGGGAGAGGCAGAUGGAAUUGGUGGUGUAGGGGUAAAAUCCGUAGAGAUCACCAGGAAUACCCAUUGCGAAGGCGAUCUGCUGGAACUCAACUGACGCUAAUGCGUGAAAGCGUGGGGAGCAAACAGGAUUAGAUACCCUGGUAGUCCACGCCCUAAACGAUGUAUACUAGUUGUUGCUGAGCUAGUCUUGGCAGUAAUGCACCUAACGGAUUAAGUAUACCGCCUGGGGAGUACGGUCGCAAGAUUAAAACUCAAAGGAAUAGACGGGGACCCGCACAAGCGGUGGAGCAUGUGGUUUAAUUCGAAGAUACGCGAAGAACCUUACCCGGACUUGAUAUCUAACAAAUCAUCUAGAGAUAGAAGAGUGUCUGCUUGCAGAAAUGUUAAGACAGGUGCUGCACGGCUGUCGUCAGCUCGUGUCGUGAGAUGUUGGGUUAAGUCCCGCAACGAGCGCAACCCACGUCAUUAGUUGCUAACGGUUCGGCCGAGCACUCUAAUGAGACUGCCUUCGCAAGGAGGAGGAAGGUGUGGACGACGUCAAGUCAUCAUGGCCCUUAUGUCCGGGGCGACACACGUGCUACAAUGGCAUAUACAAUGAGACGCAAUAUCGCGAGAUGGAGCAAAUCUAUAAAAUAUGUCCCAGUUCGGAUUGGAGUCUGCAACUCGACUCCAUGAAGCCGGAAUCGCUAGUAAUCGUAGAUCAGCCAUGCUACGGUGAAUACGUUCCCGGGUCUUGUACUCACCGCCCGUCACACCAUGGGAGUUGAUUUCACUCGAAGCCCAAAU
This 921-nucleotide ribosomal RNA is filed under the name Campylobacter curvus. RNAcentral describes it as "bacterial SSU rRNA". It matches the Rfam family "Bacterial small subunit ribosomal RNA", at positions 515 to 1433 of the family's 1533-position model. Lineage: Bacteria; Pseudomonadati; Campylobacterota; Epsilonproteobacteria; Campylobacterales; Campylobacteraceae. The record is from RNAcentral.